UCGACGUGUUUCACUUCACCUUACUCUUACGUAAUCGUGUUCGGUGGGCCUGAGCGGGAAUAAUCCCACGUAGUCGUCCCUUUCGCUGAAACGAAAUGGAGGAAAGUGAAAAAAGAGCGAUUAGAGGAAAGAGGAGGAUUUCAUGGCAUGUUUCAGUAUGCGAGGGACGUCGUAAAGAGAGCCGCUUGGGAAGGGGCGUUUUAAUUAUCGCCGAAACGCCGCCCGGUGGGCGGAAAUAAUUCGCGCCGUAAUUCUUAAUGGGCGGCCGCGCCGGGCAAAUGGCUCGGCACAGUCUGCACCGCGUCCUUUAAAUUACCAUUCGAGUGUCUUGAAACUCGGGAAAUAGAGGAUACCUAUGGAUGUGGACGUGGACGAGGACGUGGAUGUGUAAGUCCAGCCGGCUCGAGCUCGUCGCCAGGAUUUAACGAGCUCGUUCGCCCAGGGUAAAUUCCGCAAGCGUUUAAAGUCGGCUCGGCUCUUCCCUAGACAAGGAAGCCCAACUUCCACUUGGGCGCUGCCGAAGGGUCCAGGACGAGGAUGCCGGAGUCGCACUCCGGACAGCUGGAUAUCCCAUUGGAGUUCAUCCCAUGGGGACAGGUCGGAUGGGUGCAGGAGUUGCAGCCGCUCAUUCCCUUCUUCAUGUCCCUGGACACGUCAGGAUGCAAUUCCUUAUAUGAUCUAACAAGAGACACCUCGUGACCUGGUGGAGGGUGUUACCUGAAGGCUGGUUACUGACCGAGAAUGGGAUUUUCCGGACGCGGACAGCGGGGAGAACGUCACCUCGAACAGCUGGUCCAUGGCGUCGAUGCUUUGCACGAAAUAGUAGAACUUCUGCUUGAAGAUCUCCACGGUGUGCU
Molecule: long non-coding RNA, 857 nt
Organism: Orussus abietinus
Lineage: Eukaryota; Metazoa; Arthropoda; Insecta; Hymenoptera; Orussidae
Exons: 3
Source: RefSeq, a predicted model, not a curated record